GCCAGAGGAGGCGAGCGUUAUCCGGAAUUAUUGGGCGUAAAGCGUUCGUAGGUGGUUUGACAAGUCUGGGGUUAAAGCCCGGAGCCCAACUCCGGAUCGGCCCUGGAAACUGUCAGACUUGAGUAAGGUAGGGGUUGCGGGAAUUCCCGGUGUAGCGGUGAAAUGCGUAGAUAUCGGGAAGAACACCAGCGGCGAAGGCGCGCAACUGGGCCAUUACUGACACUGAGGGAAGAAAGCUAGGGGAGCGAAUGGG
RNAcentral lists this ribosomal RNA (253 nucleotides) under uncultured bacterium. Its description in RNAcentral is "partial 16S ribosomal RNA". It matches the Rfam family "Bacterial small subunit ribosomal RNA", at positions 524 to 776 of the family's 1533-position model. The record is from RNAcentral.